CACAAUAGUGUGCAACACAUGUUUGCGUGUGCGGAGGGCAAUGAUUUGAAAGAAAAAAGGAAAAACAGAUGUGCACGAUUGACACAGAAAAAAAAAACAAAAGAAUCGCUCAGUAAAAAUAACGUUUGUCUCCAUAGAUCGCGGACAACGAUACCAGCUAAAACUUAGAGACAAAUAUUGAAUACGGUAAAGAAGGCGAAGGUACAACGCACCUUCCGGUCCUUGCCUGCGCCGGGAUAUCCAAGGGACCCUGGACGUUGAAAGAUGUGCGCGUCACGGUGAUCCUGGUGAUGAGAGCACUCACACAGUCAAACAACAACAAUAACAAUCAAAAAAUCCAAUGAAGCAGAAAAUAAUUUAUCGGUGGCACGCGCGCGCGCGUGCACAAUUCACACUGACGCACCACCGAUAUCCUAACUCGGACAACGGCAACAAAUGGCUUUAGCAAUACUGGUUACGAGGCGCGCGGGCGCUGCUGUCGUAAUUCGCGGCCUGUAUUGAGACUCCUUCGUUAUCGAUUCGGAAAGAUUUUUUGGCAAGUUUUUUAGCGGGAAACUCGAAUGCGGCACGGUUGAUUUCUCAAUUAAUAAACAGCAUUAUGUAAUCUUGUUGAUAUUUAUUAUCAGAUAUUUACAUUGUGAAUCAUUUUGACGCUUAAGGUUGAAUUUGAAUUUUUUUUCUUUGGACAAAUAUUGGCGCGUAACUGCCGAUAAUUAAUAUAUGAUCGUGUGACAAUCGAUAGAAUUUAUAAAUAACGCUAUAUAUUGCUCUUUGAAAUGAUUCGUAAAUGUAGAUCGUAAUCAAUGUUUACUCGUUAAAAGUAUUUAAGAAAAUAUAUUUACCCUAGCAAUUCUUUUUGUUUUUAUCAACAAAUAUACGAAAAUGGUAAUAUUUUAUCAAGUUCUAAGCUUUUACUCGGGAAUACGAUAAAGAUAAAAGCAAAUAAUAGCCACGUGAAGAAAAAUAGAAAAAAAAGAAAGUCAAAGGUUGCCGAGCAACCCUAGGUAAGGUGCCAAGGUCACAGAGCGCGCUUUCAAACCUUUGGUUUUAUUAGAUACUCGUUGAGGACGACAAUACAAGGCUUUUCAAUUUUCGGCUGUGAUAACUCGUGACGUAAUGUAAGUAGCACUCUCACGAGCAAAUAGAAAAUCGAUUCUGUUUUUAAUAGCCUAUAAGUACUCGCCAUUUAUUAUUAUUUUUUUUUUUAGAUAUUUUUAUUGUUCAAUAAAUCUUUAUUAUUGUCAUUGUUAUUUUAAUUAUCAGUAUUAUUGCAGUUUCUGCGAAUCAAUACUGACAAUACAGUCGUCUGUCUGCUGCUUACUAGAAAAUUAGUUUUACAUUCUGUUAUUUAUCUUGGAAGGCAAAUUAAUUUUUAUUCCUUGAAAAACUCUCAAAGAUGCGUACAUGUUGAAGUUGUGAAUAUGCAUUGGAAAUUUUCAAUUUCUUUUUUGCAGUUGCAGGAAAAUGU
Phymastichus coffea is the source of this 1468-nucleotide long non-coding RNA. RefSeq lists it as uncharacterized. The transcript has 3 exons. Lineage: Eukaryota; Metazoa; Arthropoda; Insecta; Hymenoptera; Eulophidae. The record is from RefSeq and is a predicted model, not a curated record.